AAAAUCCCCAGACAAUAAAUCAAUGGGAUAGAAAAGCAGGGCCAUAUUUUCAAUAUAACCAAACUUUUAUACAAAACACAAACCACUUCAAAAUUAUUCACAUCAAAAUGGAGGUCUCAAAAGAAGACAGAGACUUAGACGAACUGGGCCGUACUCAAGGCCCCUCUCAGGAUUGCCUUCUUCCUCCAAAAAUCUUUCUCCUUAAGAUUCGCCUCCGAGUCCUCCUUCUCGGAUUCCUCCUUCUCAGCUCUUCAGCGGGGUCCUGAAAUGGUUUUCCCCAAACUGGGAUGAGACUACGUCUCAGCGAGUUCUACCCCACUAAGCCCGAUUAGAUAAACUAUUAUACUAUAGGCUGCCUAAACACGCACAGGGUAGAUGACUUACCUUGGCCUCUGAUCUCACCUGUAAGUCAGUACAAUUCAUAAUAGGCACCCAAGCAAUCAUAUCACCGAUCGAAGCAUCGAUCAAAUCGACCUAGUCGAUUAUAUUCCCACAAGACCACUCACGGUGAUUCCCAUUCAGUCAAUCAAUUCACAUCAAAUCAAAGCAUCGACCUAGUCGAUUACAUGUCAAACAAAUCACUCUCCCCAGAGGAGUAUCUAAAAGCGAGGCCACGUGCAUUCUCUAGGACGACAUUCCAAGUCUCCGAGUCCACGUGCCUCGAACCUUGGGCCCACGUGCAUUCUCUCAGGCGACCUUUUCGCCAAAGUGAUACAUCAAGUCACCGAGCCCACGUGCCCUUUUAGAUGCCCGGGCCCACGUGCAUUCUCUUAGGUGCAUCUCACCAAAGCGAUGCAUCAAUUCGCCGAGCCCACGUGCCCUUUUAGAUGCCCGGGCCCACGUGCAUUCUCUAAUUCGCCGAGCCCACGUGCCCUUUUAGAUGCCUUCACUUAGUCACAGAGCUCCAUCAAUGCUGACGUACAGUGAACACUUUACUAUGCUCUCGGGCGUCUUUUUCGCCAAGGUGAUACACUGAUCACAGAGCCAACGUAAACAAUUCAAUAUGCUCUCGGGCGUCUUUUUCGCCAAGGUGAUACACUGAUCACAGAGCCAACAUAAACAAUUCAAUAUGCUCUCGGGCGUCUUUUUCGCCAAGGUGAUACACUGAUCACAGAGCCAACAUAAACAAUUCAAUAUAAUCAACCACUAAACUCACGUGCAUUUUCCAGGUGAUAUUCCAAUUCACCGAGCCCACGUGCUUCCUUUCAGGUGAUAACCAAUACCCAACGAUUUCUCAAUCAAUUAAUUAAAUCAACUCAACAAAGCAUUAUAAAUGCUAAAUAACACACUUGGCCAAUUCAAUCUCAAUCAAUUCCAAUCAAAUUAGGGUAAAUCCCUAAUUUAUCACAAUUUAUUCAAUUCCAUACAACGUGGAGCUCAAAUAAAUAAACGGACUGCGCCACGACGAUCAACACGAGAUUUCGGUCGUCGGCCAUCAAAAUCUUAAUUUCCGAAAAAUAAUUAAUUAAUAAAUAUUAAAAAUUCAAUUUAGUACAAAAUAAAGCCCGAUUAAAUAAACGGACUUCACCACGGUCAUCAGCAUAAUUUUCCGGUUCCAGGCCAUCUCAGUUGAAUUUCCGGAAAAUAAAUAAAUAAUUAAUUAAUUUCGAAUAUUAAAUAAUUAAUAUUAAAAAUCCCAUUUAGCUCAAAUUAAAGCCCGAUUAAAUAAACGGACUUCACCACAGUCAUCCGCAUAAUAUUCCGGUUCCGAACCAUCUCCCUUGAAUUUUCGGAAAAUAAAUAAUUAUUUAAUUUAAUUCCGAAAAUUAAUAUUUAAAUACUAAAAAAUCCACUUAGGCCCGAAAAGCCUAAUUGGAGCACACUAAGGGUCGGGAAAAAUCCCGAGGCACUUCCAAUAAUUAGUAGACCACGUCUACUUGCUAAUUGUGCAAUCAAUUUAUCUAAAUCGCAUCACAAUUGACUAAUAAUUGCUAAUUUAUUCUAAUCUAACAACCUAAACAUAAUUAAUUAAAUCUAAACCAACCUUAAGCAUAAUUAGCCAACUAAUCCUGGAUUAGUGAGAUUACUCACCAAAUCGCGCGCAAGUCAGAUCAAUCCGACGGCGGCGACGCGAGGAACAAAACUUCCCAAAGUGACUCACGGAUCCGGGGUCGAGAAACGGCCCAAAACGGGCCCGAACCAGCUGGAAACCCAUUUCGUGGGUUUCUGCCCAUGGUGGUCGGAGCAGAUCCGGCGGCCAAAACGGCGAGGGAAGGCCGGCGGAAGGUGAGGGGGUUGCGGGGGAGGUCCGGCGAGGCUAGGCGGUGGCCGGAGGUGGUCGGACGGUGGUUGGUCGGUGCGGAACAGGGGCGAACAGCGGCUGGUUCGCGCGGCCUGGGCGUGCACAGAUGGCGGAACGGCGGCGAGCGGCGAGCGGCGGGCGCUCGGGCGCGGGCGGCGGCGGGACGAGCGGCUGCUGUCUUCGUCUGGCGAUGAUGCUCGCUGCUUCUGUUCUUCUUCGGCUUCUGGUUCGCACACGAAGAAAGAAGAAGAAGAAGCUGGUUCACGAGGGAGUUGGGGAAAAAGAGGAAAGAGAGAGAUAAGGGAGGGGGUUUGACCGGUCAAAAAGGAUAAGAAGGAGGAGAAGAAGCCAAUUUAAAAUUGGCAAGGGGAGUGUUCGG
This 2621-nucleotide long non-coding RNA is filed under the name Eucalyptus grandis. RNAcentral describes it as "long non-coding RNA (EGRA_LNC003040)". Lineage: Eukaryota; Viridiplantae; Streptophyta; Magnoliopsida; Myrtales; Myrtaceae. The record is from RNAcentral.